This 315-nucleotide ribosomal RNA is filed under the name uncultured bacterium. RNAcentral describes it as "bacterial SSU rRNA". It matches the Rfam family "Bacterial small subunit ribosomal RNA", at positions 152 to 483 of the family's 1533-position model. The record is from RNAcentral.
GGAAACGACUGCUAAUACCGCAUAAGCCCACGGUGCCGCAUGGCACAGAGGGAAAAGGAGUAAUCCGCUUUGAGAUGGCCUCGCGUCCGAUUAGCUAGUUGGUGAGGUAACGGCCCACCAAGGCGACGAUCGGUAGCCGGACUGAGAGGUUGAACGGCCACAUUGGGACUGAGACACGGCCCAGACUCCUACGGGAGGCAGCAGUGGGGAAUAUUGCACAAUGGGGGAAACCCUGAUGCAGCGACGCCGCGUGGAGGAAGAAGGUCUUCGGAUUGUAAACUCCUGUUGUUGGGGAAGAUAAUGACGGUACCCCAC